AGUGAACGCUGGCGGUAGGCCUAACACAUGCAAGUCGAACGGCAGCACAGGAGAGCUUGCUCUCUGGGUGGCGAGCGGCGGACGGGUGAGGAAUACAUCGGAAUCUACUCUGUCGUGGGGGAUAACGUAGGGAAACUUACGCUAAUACCGCAUACGACCUACGGGUGAAAGCAGGGGACCUUCGGGCCUUGCGCAAUUGAAUGAGCCGGUGUCGGAUUAGCUAGUUGGCGGGGUAAAGGCCCACCAAGGCGACGAUCCGUAGCUGGUCUGAGAGGAUGAUCAGCCACACUGGAACUGAGACACGGUCCAGACUCCUACGGGAGGCAGCAGUGGGGAAUAUUGGACAAUGGGCGCAAGCCUGAUCCAGCCAUACCGCGUGGGUGAAGAAGGCCUUCGGGUUGUAAAGCCCUUUUGUUGGGAAAGAAAUCCAGCUGGCUAAUACCCGGUUGGGAUGACGGUACCCAAAGAAUAAGCACCGGCUAACUUCGUGCCAGCAGCCGCAGUAA
Molecule: ribosomal RNA, 506 nt
Filed under: uncultured bacterium
Lineage: Bacteria
Description: partial 16S ribosomal RNA
Rfam family: Bacterial small subunit ribosomal RNA
Source: RNAcentral